The sequence is a transfer RNA, 82 nucleotides long. It matches the Rfam family "tRNA". From Rfam's summary of the family: Transfer RNA (tRNA) molecules are approximately 80 nucleotides in length. Their secondary structure includes four short double-helical elements and three loops (D, anti-codon, and T loops). Further hydrogen bonds mediate the characteristic L-shaped molecular structure. tRNAs have two regions of fundamental functional importance: the anti-codon, which is responsible for specific mRNA codon recognition, and the 3' end, to which the tRNAs corresponding amino acid is attached (by aminoacyl-tRNA synthetases). tRNAs cope with the degeneracy of the genetic code in two manners: having more than one tRNA (with a specific anti-codon) for a particular amino acid; and 'wobble' base-pairing, i.e. permitting non-standard base-pairing at the 3rd anti-codon position. The record is from Rfam.
GGUGACGUGUCCGAGUGGUCAUGGAGGUAGGUUGUCGCCCUACUGGGUUACACCGUAGCGGGUUCGAUUCCCGCCGUCAUCA